Molecule: ribosomal RNA, 464 nt
Filed under: uncultured bacterium
Lineage: Bacteria
Description: partial 16S ribosomal RNA
Rfam family: Bacterial small subunit ribosomal RNA
Source: RNAcentral
CUACGGGAGGCACCAGUGGGGAAUAUUGCACAAUGGGCGCAAGCCUGAUGCAGCCAUGCCGCGUGUAUGAAGAAGGCCUUCGGGUUGUAAAGUACUUUCAGCGGGGAGGAAGGGAGUAAAGUUAAUACCUUUGCUCAUUGACGUUACCCGCAGAAGAAGCACCGGCUAACUCCGUGCCAGCAGCCGCGGUAAUACGGAGGGUGCAAGCGUUAAUCGGAAUUACUGGGCGUAAAGCGCACGCAGGCGGUUUGUUAAGUCAGAUGUGAAAUCCCCGGGCUCAACCUGGGAACUGCAUCUGAUACUGGCAAGCUUGAGUCUCGUAGAGGGGGGUAGAAUUCCAGGUGUAGCGGUGAAAUGCGUAGAGAUCUGGAGGAAUACCGGUGGCGAAGGCGGCCCCCUGGACGAAGACUGACGCUCAGGUGCGAAAGCGUGGGGAGCAAACAGGAUUAGAUACCCGUGUAGUC